RNAcentral lists this long non-coding RNA (1347 nucleotides) under Equus asinus (donkey). Its description in RNAcentral is "lncRNA (ENSEASG00005032880.1)". The record is from RNAcentral. Lineage: Eukaryota; Metazoa; Chordata; Mammalia; Perissodactyla; Equidae.
GGCACUUUCCAGGUAUCGUGAACUAGAAGUAAAUCCAUAUGAAAGGAUCCAGGAAAUAAAGCACACACUUCAUGACUUCAUAGAAACCAUACAUCUCAAUAACUUUUACUGGACAUUUGGGGAAAAAAAGAACUAUUAACGAUUCACACAGCUUGGCAUAAAAGUGUUCAAGACCUAGGUUCAAAGUUUGAUUCUUCCAUUUACUUCCUGCCUGCUUUAGAACAAGUUACGUCAGCCCCAGGCCUCAGUUUCCCUAUCUGUUUAGAGGGUGUGAGGAUACUGACCUGGCGGAUCUGUGGACUGUGGGCUCCAUCCACUGGGCUGCAGGAUCAGCGGGAACAAGGGCCGUGGUUUCCUCUUGCUCACCGUUAUAUCCCCAGCACCUAGCAUAGGACAGGCACGGAGAGGCGUUAAGAAUUUGCCCAACGGACACGUGGAUAAAGAAUGAUCGAAUGAAUUAAGAGCUUAGUUAAGGAAAUGUCAGCUCCCGGCCUUUAUCCCUCCUAUUUUCUGGGCCUCUCGCCUGUUAGGGGGAUUCAUCCACGACCCGGGCCCAGGCCCUUGACGCUGAACGUGGGAGACUGUCCGCGCGCCCCCACUGCAGUCCGAGGAGGAAGCGCGCGGGGCCCUAGACGCCCAUCUCCGUUAGCUGCCACCACUCCGGCUCCAGGCGCCGAGCUGUUGGCCACCUUCGCCCCUUGGUUGAAUCUCAGUCGCAAGAUGGCCGGAACAGGAAAGAAGGGGGCAUGCUUUUCCGUUCUCUCCGUUUCCCACCCCCUGGCAGCGCCUCCCGCCCCGGGGGCACGGCGGGGCCGGCCAGCCGAACCGGCAAAGACAAAAGCCGAACCCGCAAAGACAAAGGCAAAUGGGGAGUGGGAACUGCGCCAGCGGGGUCUACAUUUCCUCGGCUCGCAGCCAGGGGAAGAGAGAGGAAGGCCCAUCUUCGCGACCACCGAGAUGCCCCGUCCACCGCCGGCUUCCAUGGUCUCCUGGCGCAUCCCGGGCCUCGGCUCACCCCAGCUGCGCGCUCCUGGGCUGGGGCCGGGCGCUGCAAGCGGACUGGGGCGACGCUGGAGACGCAGACCCCAGGGGCACUGCUGGCGCAGGCAGGGCCCGCGGAGGCCGAUGAGCAGCGGCGGGCCGGGACCUUCUUCCAGGGCGCAGGAUGAAGCUUGUCAGGUCUGAGCAAGUCCUGGCUAGGUGAGCCGCCUGGCGCCGCUCCGGGCCCUCCCAGACUUCCCGGUCGCGGGCGUCUUGGGAUCCCCCACCCCCCUCCCGCCCCCUUCCCCUCCACGAUCUGCCCCCGGCUUCUUCUCUCCGCGUCCUAGCUCCUCUGGCAGCUGGGCG